RNAcentral lists this transfer RNA (88 nucleotides) under Chloroflexota bacterium. RNAcentral describes it as "tRNA-Ala". Lineage: Bacteria; Bacillati; Chloroflexota. The record is from RNAcentral.
UGUGCUUUAGGAGGGUAUUCAAGUGAACCUAGCAAGAUCGCUCGGGAUAUCGCUCAAACGGUAACUAGUUCUAAUCCUGCAAGUAUUA